UACGGAGGGGACUAGCGUUGUUCGGAAUUACUGGGCGUAAAGCGCACGUAGGCGGAUUUGUAAGUCAGGGGUGAAAUCCCGGGGCUCAACCUCGGAACUGCCUUUGAUACUGCAAAUCUCGAGUCCGGAAGAGGUGAGUGGAAUUCCUAGUGUAGAGGUGAAAUUCGUAGAUAUUAGGAAGAACACCAGUGGCGAAGGCGGCUCACUGGUCCGGUACUGGCGCUGAGGUGCGAAAGCGUGGGGAGCAAACAGG
This 253-nucleotide ribosomal RNA is filed under the name uncultured bacterium. RNAcentral's name for it is "partial 16S ribosomal RNA". It matches the Rfam family "Bacterial small subunit ribosomal RNA", at positions 524 to 776 of the family's 1533-position model. The record is from RNAcentral.